RNAcentral lists this ribosomal RNA (80 nucleotides) under Halomonas sp. 15WGF. RNAcentral's name for it is "partial 16S ribosomal RNA". It matches the Rfam family "Bacterial small subunit ribosomal RNA", at positions 1459 to 1533 of the family's 1533-position model. Lineage: Bacteria; Pseudomonadati; Pseudomonadota; Gammaproteobacteria; Oceanospirillales; Halomonadaceae. The record is from RNAcentral.
ACGGUGUGGUUCAUGACUGGGGUGAAGUCGUAACAAGGUAGCCGUAGGGGAACCUGCGGCUGGAUCACCUCCUUAAACGA